AGCGAACGCUGGCGGCAGGCCUAACACAUGCAAGUCGAACGAACCUUUCGGGGUUAGUGGCGGACGGGUGAGUAACACGUGGGAACGUGCCUUUAGGUUCGGAAUAACUCAGGGAAACUUGUGCUAAUACCGAAUGUGCCCUUCGGGGGAAAGAUUUAUCGCCUUUAGAGCGGCCCGCGUCUGAUUAGCUAGUUGGUUGAGGUAAUGGCUCACCAAGGCGACGAUCAGUAGCUGGUCUGAGAGGAUGAUCAGCCACAUUGGGACUGAGACACGGCCGAAACUCCUACGGGAGGCAGCAGUGGGGAAUCUUGCGCAAUGGGCGAAAGCCUGACGCAGCCAUGCCGCGUGAAUGAUGAAGGUCUUAGGAUUGUAAAAUUCUUUCACCGGGGACGAUAAUGACGGUACCCGGAGAAGAAGCCCCGGCUAACUUCGUG
Molecule: ribosomal RNA, 434 nt
Filed under: uncultured bacterium
Lineage: Bacteria
Description: partial 16S ribosomal RNA
Rfam family: Bacterial small subunit ribosomal RNA
Source: RNAcentral